This 450-nucleotide long non-coding RNA is filed under the name Homo sapiens (human). Its description in RNAcentral is "non-protein coding lnc-MGMT-11:1". Lineage: Eukaryota; Metazoa; Chordata; Mammalia; Primates; Hominidae. The record is from RNAcentral.
GUUGACACCCUGAAGAAUGUGCAAAUCUAUCUUCUCAUGUUUUUCCAAAACCUCACUCUCCAAUCCUGAGCCGGGGAUAUUGAUAUCGUUGAUAUCCAGGAACAGUUUGUGUGUGGCUUCCAACCAAGCUGCAGCUAGCUUAUGAGAAGAAGCAAGAUUAUCACCGAAGAGAGUCAUGAGACUGUGGGUCUGCAAGUUGGCGCAUUGUCUCACACUUGACCCUUAGAAUACUUGGACCAGCUUCUGAAAGGUACAUUUGGAAGGCCAAAAGGAAGGAGAAAGAGAGGAGAGGCAUGGCCGGCUCCCAGGGAUGAGAGCUCAUCUAUCUUGAGGUUUUUCUUCAAUCUCCAAGGCCAUGUAGAAGUGACUUGGGCAAUUUCCUCUAUGUUGGUAGACUAGGCUGUGAGCAGUAGCCUAUAAAUCCAAGGUCCUGGCCUGCCUCAGUUGCUG